GUACACUCCUGCGGGAGGCAGCAGUGGGGAAUUUUGGACAAUGGGCGAAAGCCUGAUCCAGCAAUGCCGCGUGAGUGAAGAAGGCCUUCGGGUUGUAAAGCUCUUUUGUCAGGGAAGAAACGGUGAGAGCUAAUAUCUUUUGCUAAUGACGGUACCUGAAGAAUAAGCACCGGCUAACUACGUGCCAGCAGCCGCGGUAAUACGUAGGGUGCAAGCGUUAAUCGGAAUUACUGGGCGUAAAGCGUGCGCAGGCGGUUUUGUAAGUCUGAUGUGAAAUCCCCGGGCUCAACCUGGGAAUUGCAUUGGAGACUGCAAGGCUAGAAUCUGGCAGAGGGGGGUAGAAUUCCACGUGUAGCAGUGAAAUGCGUAGAUAUGUGGAGGAACACCGAUGGCGAAGGCAGCCCCCUGGGUCAAGAUUGACGCUCAUGCACGAAAGCGUGGGGAGCAAACAGGAUUAGAUACCCUGGUAGUCCC
RNAcentral lists this ribosomal RNA (474 nucleotides) under uncultured organism. RNAcentral's name for it is "partial 16S ribosomal RNA". It matches the Rfam family "Bacterial small subunit ribosomal RNA", at positions 331 to 797 of the family's 1533-position model. The record is from RNAcentral.